Molecule: small RNA, 289 nt
Filed under: Candidatus Accumulibacter sp. BA-94
Lineage: Bacteria; Pseudomonadati; Pseudomonadota; Betaproteobacteria
Description: 5' ureB small RNA
Rfam family: 5' ureB small RNA
Source: Rfam by way of RNAcentral
CUUCUUCGACUUGUUGCGGGCAGAUGAAAUGAAUGUGGCUGUCAAUGCCGCCGGCGGUGGCGAUCAAACCUUCGCCGGCGAUAGCCUCGGUGCCGGGACCGAUGAUGAUGGUUACGCCCGGCUGCACGUCGGGAUUACCGGCCUUGCCGAUCCCGACGAUGCGGCCAUCCUUGAUCCCGAUGUCGGCCUUGACGAUGCCCCAGUAAUCCACGAUCAGCGCAUUGGUGAUCACGGUAUCGACGGCGCCUUCCGCCUGUGAGCGCUGCGAUUGGCCCAUGCCGUCGCGGAU